GGGAAACCUAGAUACUGAAGCCAUGUUCGCUCUAUAUGCCACAGCUCUCCUCUGCUUCCUGUCUUCGAGCCAAUCAGCUCCUGCUGGUGCUCUAACCUGUGAGGACCUCCUUAAGCCCAUGGAUCCACCACGACUCAACCAUGUUUGCUCUCAAGCCAAUCAGCUCCUGCUGCAGCUCUAGCCUGUGAGGACCUCCUUAAGCCUAUGGAUCCACCACGACUAGACCAGCAGCUCUUGAGGAAAUGGGCCCUCGUCGCAGGCAGCCUGAGCCACCCUGCAUCCCUGGAGGCUCUCAAGACCAGAGACGGCAUCACCAUGGAGUUUUCACCCUCUACCCCCAACACCACCCAGAACUCCAACACCACCACAACCGUCCACUACACCCAGACUAACCGUUUCGGCAUCCGAUGCGAGUAUCUAACCUACAAUAUCUCACUCCUCAACGACAACAGCACCUUCCGGUUCGACGUGGGGGGCCGAUUCAACCUCACUGGGGUCUUCCUGGAGACCUCCUGCCCAGACUGUCUGGUGAUGAAGUGGGAGGUGAUGUCCAGGAGGAGGGAGUCCACGGACCUGUACCUGCUGAGGAAGGUGGAGGGCGGGAGAGAGGUGGAGGAAGAGGAGAUGGAGGAGUUCAGGAAACAGGUGGAGUGUUUGGGGCUGCCUCCGCCAGUGGUGAUGGAGCCGGGGAAUGUCCUCUGUGGUUUCUAUCAGCUCCUCUGGAAAGACUGAGGAGAAGGAGAAGAAGAAGCUCGAUCAGUGUGAUCAGAGAGUGGGGGCCGUGAGACAGAUGUAGAGACCCGUUUUCUGUCAUCUGUUUUGGAAUCCAACAAUUCUGUGUUUUACCGUUUGUCGAAGACCUGUAGAAUUUUGAAUAAAAGAUGCACGGUUUGUCAUGUUAUUCUGUCUUCUUGGCUUCUUUAACAGAUUUAAUUACGUUCACAGAGAGAUUUAAUGUCCAAGAGCUUAAGCUAAUUCACAGAGACGGUGGGAUCCAGCAGGAAUGUCGGGACGUCAUUAGGACCGCUCCAAACUCUUCACAAUGGGAAGGAAAAGUCUUUUAUAAUUGGAUUACUUUUGUAUAAUUUGGCAUAACCUCAUUUGUCCAUGCAUUAAAGUGCUCA
Molecule: long non-coding RNA, 1124 nt
Filed under: Salmo salar (Atlantic salmon)
Lineage: Eukaryota; Metazoa; Chordata; Actinopteri; Salmoniformes; Salmonidae
Description: lncRNA (ENSSSAG00000089553.1)
Source: RNAcentral